GCAGCACACAGAGCCUCACGACCCUUCACGCUGCAAACCAGUUCUGACGUUAGAACAGCAGAAAAGCGGAGACCUGGAGGUUUUUAGGAUUUACUGGACCUCUUUCGGAUGUCUGAAGAAACACUGUUGAGGAGCUCUGACUAAGGUGAGCUGCUUUAGCCUUCUUUUACAUUGUUUGCUUCAAUAAUCAGCUUUUCUCUCAUGUAUUGUGAGUGGUUUGAUUGAUGUUUGGACAUCCCUAACAUGUAUAUGUGUUCAUAAAUUUUUUUUAAUUUUUUUUUGUUUCUGUAAAUCACAGUCUGGCAUCCUGGAAUAAAAAACCCAUGAUGUGCAUUAUUUCAAAGAAUUAGAAAUAAUUGUAAGGCUAUAAUGAAUCUCUAUAAUAAAGUGAUCGUAUCUGGUUUAUUUGAUAUUUAAAAAAUGAAUCCAAUGCAUGUUUAAUUUGUCUUUUUUUUUGAUGAUCCCUGCCUCUCCUUCUGUCAGCAGACUUAUAAGGAGGGAUCUUGGCUCCUGCAGCCAUUUCCCCUGCAGGGCUGAGCUCUUUGGCUGGCUUGCCAUUUCCUUAGCAGAGGGACUGCUGGCAGGGGCAACAUCUGAGCAGGUCAUGAAGCCUCAGGAGGCAGAGCUUGUUACUGAAAUCUCCAAGUUACAAUGCAUGGUCUCGGAGCUGAAGUCGGGGUUCACCAGCGCUCUGCUGGAGCUCAGUCAGAUCCAACAUGGAGACACAUACCUGAGAGAGGAGCUGGAGGAGAACAGGAGGAGCUGUCAGAAAAAAGCUUUAAGGCUGGAGGCUCUAGUCGACUCACUGAGGGAGGAACUCAGUGUGAUGAGGUGUCAGAUCGUGCAGCUGUACAGCAACAGACACAGACCUCAGCAGGAUGGAAAAAGCUCCACAUCCAAGCAAAGAGAAAGCAGCGAUCCAGCUGAGCCGCAGCGUGUACAGCGUCAGUGUGAUUGUUCAUCUGCUCCACCUGCCUGUCUGUCCAGAGGAAAACUGCUUCUUCACUGUUUCCUGCAGGGCCUCAAAGCUGGUCUCAGUGAAGGCACAGAUGCACGCCAUCAGGUCACGAUGCAGCUCCUGCACUCUGAGUGGGAAUAUGUGUCAACCUUAAACCAGCUGUAUGACAAAUACAAGACCCCACCGGCUCACCACAUGACUGCAGAACCAUAUCAGACCUAUUUGAAGUUUGUGGAGCAGCUGUUACAGCGCCAUCUGCUCUUCAGAAAUACACUGCAGGAGCGGUUAUCAGCUGAACACUGGAAAUCUCUGAUUGGAGACAUCCUGGUGCAGCUUAUUGGCCACAACGAUACAGCUUUUUCAGACAUGUACCUCGGAUACACAACGACCCUGGCGUCAUUCCUCUCACUUGAGUUCAAGAGACUCAAUCAUCCUGACAAGAGUCAAAUUUUGCAGGGCAGCCAGAUGGAGAGAGAGGAAAUGAAACUGCUCUCCUUGCUUUUGGCACCUGUCGCGCGCAUACACAGCUACCUGAGUCACAUUCAGAACCUCUUGCAGUGGACUGGUAAAGAGCAUCCUGACUGCAGCCUGUUGUUGGGAACUGAGCGAGCUCUGAGGAGCAUUUUAUCCCGCUGUCAUGUAAUUCUCGAGGAAGACGUCCGGUGGGAAGAAGGAGAAGUAGCUGGACAAAGCACCUCUGAUGCUGGGGCUGGCGUUUCUGCUGCAAACUGUUGCACGAGGAGCCAGCACACCAGAGAGUCUCAGCAGGCCAGGGAAGAGUCAAACGCUGCUGCUCAGAGCAGAGAAGAGCAGAUAGCUGUCGGCCUCAGCAAUGGCGUGAAUGGCUGCCAGUCAAUGCGUGUGGAGUGUUGGUCCUGCAGCCCUGUGAGAAGAGACCGAGCCCUCCUGAACCAGCCGGCCCAUGACUGUGGACAUGCCUACUGCUCCCUCCUCACUCCAGACACAGCAGGAUGGGGAGACAACAGCGACUCAGGCCAGGGCACCUUCAGCCAGCCCACGGGGAAAGGCACCAACGAGCUAGAGGCACCUCGCACGAACCACAGCCUGGAAGACUGUGAGACAGACCCCGAUGACACCUCUGCCUUUGACUAUUCCUCAGUCACCUCAUGUAGCCCUGAUGGCACUCUGCGCAGAGAAAUGACCGGUAGCAACAGCGGGGAGGAUGAAGAGGAAGACAGCCAGGUGCCAGUGCUGUUAAAGCCCUCAUACAGUCAGCAGCAGCAGGUCAAAGAGACACCAAGAGAGAGGACUGUGUGUCUGAGGUGGCAGAUUCCAAGACUGACCCCUCACCCUCCUCUGAGGAACCCAUCAGGACCCCACAUGGACGGGCCAACGCCGUGUCUCGUCAGCUCCUACGGGAAGAGGUUAGUCAGCGUUAGAAAGGGAUCGCCUCCUCUUCACCCGAAAAGUGCCUUCAGGCCAAUCUGGGAUGAUCCGUCAAAGCAGGCUGAUUCAGCCCCAGAGAAAGACAACAGGCAAGGUUUCAUUCCGAUUCAGGCUCCAGCGAGGCAAAACUUUCAGAAUUUCAACCCGAGCAGAGAAAAUUUGAGGACAGGGCUGGCUCAGCAGCGAGUGAACCAUGCAGCAGCAGCCACGAGCAGUGGAGGAUUGUGGGAUGACAGUGAGGACAGCGAGGGACCCUGCAGCACUGUUUGAUAACUGCCAUUUAAAAAAAUCCAAAACCUGAGCACAAGCGUUUUUCCACAAGGCCUCUAAAGUUGUGAAGUGCAUGAAUGAGCAAUGAGCAACUAACAAUCAGGGACUGUUUUUGGAUUUGAUGUUAAAUUAAAGCUUGAUUGAGCUCUGCAGAACUCUUUGUUCUUUAUGUCUUGUCUUUUCAGGAUUACACUUUUUUAUGUGGGCAGGAUCACGCUUAAGCCCAGGUUCAACUCACUGUGGAAGAGAAAGAAAAAACAAAAAGCAGCAAUAAUCAGAUGUUUCAUCAGGAUUUCAUGCUUGAAAGACUUUAAUGGUCCCAAUGAGAC
Astatotilapia calliptera (eastern happy) is the source of this 2964-nucleotide long non-coding RNA. The record is from Ensembl. NCBI's taxonomy places the organism in Eukaryota, Metazoa, Chordata, Actinopteri, Cichliformes, Cichlidae.